AAUAAUUUUACCCUUCUUGAUGUGCAAAUUUCUCAAUCAUCAGAGAGAUCAUGAAAUCAAAGCGAACCCAAUACAACAAAAAUUCGUUGAUUGAACUGUUUUUCUUUACAAAGGUUAGUUUCGAGCUGCUCCAGAUUUCGUUUAGGAGCCACCAUUUCCAUCAGAUCCAGAUUCCGUUUAUGAAAAACAGCUGAGGAGAAUAUGGAUUCAGCGCUCGUCGGUUCACAUCCAUAUUUACUUAUCAUUGUCGGUUGAGAAGAAUAUUAGAUCAUUCUACAAGUGAAUCAAUACUUUUGGAAAUCUCGAGUUAUCCACUGAUGAGAAAGAAAGGUCAGUGGAUUUUUACAUGGUACAAUUGAGGAAAUGUUGAGCAAAGACAUACAAUAAGCGUGCAUUGUAACCGUGAGUUUUCCCAUUGCCUUUGUCAAUGCAAAAUUCUCAACGACCAGGUACGUUCAUUCUCUAUAACUUAGGUAGUUGUUAUUUCUUAACUGUCACAUGAAUAAGAGUUCCCUAAACACAUAUUGAUAAUCAGUUUUAAACUUCAUUGUAAUAUAUAAACUGAAAUCCUAUAAAAUGAAUAUUUCAAUGAUCUCACCAGAGUAAUUGGUGUACUGUUUCCAAGAAUGAACGAUUUUGACUUGAAGGAAACAAUGAACGAUUUUGACUUGAAUCAUCAAGAUCGAUGCUAAGUCUGUGAUUGGAAAAAUGGCCGCCAUUUGUAAAGAAUAAUGAGAAAAAUGAAGCAAAUAAAUUGUAGAAGUUAUGAUGAAUUCAGCCUAGAUGACUGACAUAUUUAUUGGUAGACGUAGAUUUGUCACUCGAUUAGGUUAGUUUUAGGGUAUAUUCUCUUUUAAUUAUGAAAUAUAUGGGAUUUGUUAGUUUUGGAUAGUAUAAUUAAUGAGUAUUUUGAUUUGGAAAUCAAUUAUGUGACUCAAAUUACGUUGCUUAAAUUUAGGAUCAUUUUGGUAAUCAACAUAUUUGUUAGCGAUUGAUAUCUUUGUGAUUGUUCGAUUUUCCUAAAUAUUUUAAUUGAUUCACGGAGAAGUUUGGUUUGAUAUGAUAAAGGGAAUAUUUGUGAUCGAGAAUCACGAUGAAGUCGAGAUUGGAAAUAACGUGGAAGGAUGUUUUAUUUUUGGGGGAAGUUAUAGACCUUUACAUUUAUUUACAUUUAUUUAUGGAGUUAUUUCUUUUUUUGUUUUGGGUUUAAUACUCGAUGACCCAUUUACUUUACUUCGGGUUAUUCUCACCCAUAUCCGAUUGUUUUAAUUUCGGGUAAUUUUUUUAAAUGACCCAACCCAAAAAUAAUUUUGUACUUCUUUUUUACUAAUAUAGAGAUUUUUCUUUGUA
Molecule: long non-coding RNA, 1350 nt
Organism: Camelina sativa (false flax)
Lineage: Eukaryota; Viridiplantae; Streptophyta; Magnoliopsida; Brassicales; Brassicaceae
Source: RefSeq, a predicted model, not a curated record